RNAcentral lists this ribosomal RNA (2929 nucleotides) under Salmonella enterica. Its description in RNAcentral is "bacterial LSU rRNA". It matches the Rfam family "Bacterial large subunit ribosomal RNA". The record is from RNAcentral. RNAcentral also lists the same sequence under 1 other name. Lineage: Bacteria; Pseudomonadati; Pseudomonadota; Gammaproteobacteria; Enterobacterales; Enterobacteriaceae.
GGGUUGUGAGGUUAAGCGACUAAGCGUACACGGUGGAUGCCCUGGCAGUCAGAGGCGAUGAAGGGCGUGCUAAUCUGCGAUAAGCGCCGGUAAGGUGAUAUGAACCGUUAUAACCGGCGAUACCCGAAUGGGGAAACCCAGUGUGACUCGUCACACUAUCAUUAACUGAAUCCAUAGGUUAAUGAGGCGAACCGGGGGAACUGAAACAUCUAAGUACCCCGAGGAAAAGAAAUCAACCGAGAUUCCCCCAGUAGCGGCGAGCGAACGGGGAGGAGCCCAGAGCCUGAAUCAGCAUGUGUGUUAGUGGAAGCGUCUGGAAAGUCGCGCGAUACAGGGUGACAGCCCCGUACACAAAAGCGCAUGUGCUGUGAGCUCGAUGAGUAGGGCGGGACACGUGGUAUCCUGUCUGAAUAUGGGGGGACCAUCCUCCAAGGCUAAAUACUCCUGACUGACCGAUAGUGAACCAGUACCGUGAGGGAAAGGCGAAAAGAACCCCGGCGAGGGGAGUGAAACAGAACCUGAAACCGUGUACGUACAAGCAGUGGGAGCACAGGUUUACCUGUGUGACUGCGUACCUUUUGUAUAAUGGGUCAGCGACUUAUAUUCUGUAGCAAGGUUAACCGAAUAGGGGAGCCGGAGGGAAACCGAGUCUUAAUUGGGCGUUAAGUUGCAGGGUAUAGACCCGAAACCCGGUGAUCUAGCCAUGGGCAGGUUGAAGGUUGGGUAACACUAACUGGAGGACCGAACCGACUAAUGUUGAAAAAUUAGCGGAUGACCUGUGGCUGGGGGUGAAAGGCCAAUCAAACCGGGAGAUAGCUGGUUCUCCCCGAAAGCUAUUUAGGUAGCGCCUCGUGAAUUCAUCUCCGGGGGUAGAGCACUGUUUCGGCUAGGGGGCCAUCCCGGCUUACCAACCCGAUGCAAACUGCGAAUACCGGAGAAUGUUAUCACGGGAGACACACGGCGGGUGCUAACGUCCGUCGUGAAGAGGGAAACAACCCAGACCGCCAGCUAAGGUCCCAAAGUCAUGGUUAAGUGGGAAACGAUGUGGGAAGGCCCAGACAGCCAGGAUGUUGGCUUAGAAGCAGCCAUCAUUUAAAGAAAGCGUAAUAGCUCACUGGUCGAGUCGGCCUGCGCGGAAGAUGUAACGGGGCUAAACCAUGCACCGAAGCUGCGGCAGCGACGUUUAUGCGUUGUUGGGUAGGGGAGCGUUCUGUAAGCCUGCGAAGGUGGCCUGUGAGGGUUGCUGGAGGUAUCAGAAGUGCGAAUGCUGACAUAAGUAACGAUAAAGCGGGUGAAAAGCCCGCUCGCCGGAAGACCAAGGGUUCCUGUCCAACGUUAAUCGGGGCAGGGUGAGUCGACCCCUAAGGCGAGGCCGAAAGGCGUAGUCGAUGGGAAACGGGUUAAUAUUCCCGUACUUGGUGUUACUGCGAAGGGGGGACGGAGAAGGCUAUGUUGGCCGGGCGACGGUUGUCCCGGUUUAAGCGUGUAGGUGUGUGUUCCAGGUAAAUCCGGUUCACUUUAACACUGAGGCGUGAUGACGAGGCACUACGGUGCUGAAGCAACAAAUGCCCUGCUUCCAGGAAAAGCCUCUAAGCAUCAGGUAACAUCAAAUCGUACCCCAAACCGACACAGGUGGUCAGGUAGAGAAUACCAAGGCGCUUGAGAGAACUCGGGUGAAGGAACUAGGCAAAAUGGUGCCGUAACUUCGGGAGAAGGCACGCUGACACGUAGGUGAAGUGAUUUACUCAUGGAGCUGAAGUCAGUCGAAGAUACCAGCUGGCUGCAACUGUUUAUUAAAAACACAGCACUGUGCAAACACGAAAGUGGACGUAUACGGUGUGACGCCUGCCCGGUGCCGGAAGGUUAAUUGAUGGGGUCAGCGCAAGCGAAGCUCCUGAUCGAAGCCCCGGUAAACGGCGGCCGUAACUAUAACGGUCCUAAGGUAGCGAAAUUCCUUGUCGGGUAAGUUCCGACCUGCACGAAUGGCGUAAUGAUGGCCAGGCUGUCUCCACCCGAGACUCAGUGAAAUUGAACUCGCUGUGAAGAUGCAGUGUACCCGCGGCAAGACGGAAAGACCCCGUGAACCUUUACUAUAGCUUGACACUGAACAUUGAGCCUUGAUGUGUAGGAUAGGUGGGAGGCUUUGAAGCGUGGACGCCAGUCUGCAUGGAGCCGACCUUGAAAUACCACCCUUUAAUGUUUGAUGUUCUAACGUGGACCCGUAAUCCGGGUUGCGGACAGUGUCUGGUGGGUAGUUUGACUGGGGCGGUCUCCUCCUAAAGAGUAACGGAGGAGCACGAAGGUUGGCUAAUCCUGGUCGGACAUCAGGAGGUUAGUGCAAUGGCAUAAGCCAGCUUGACUGCGAGCGUGACGGCGCGAGCAGGUGCGAAAGCAGGUCAUAGUGAUCCGGUGGUUCUGAAUGGAAGGGCCAUCGCUCAACGGAUAAAAGGUACUCCGGGGAUAACAGGCUGAUACCGCCCAAGAGUUCAUAUCGACGGCGGUGUUUGGCACCUCGAUGUCGGCUCAUCACAUCCUGGGGCUGAAGUAGGUCCCAAGGGUAUGGCUGUUCGCCAUUUAAAGUGGUACGCGAGCUGGGUUUAGAACGUCGUGAGACAGUUCGGUCCCUAUCUGCCGUGGGCGCUGGAGAACUGAGGGGGGCUGCUCCUAGUACGAGAGGACCGGAGUGGACGCAUCACUGGUGUUCGGGUUGUCAUGCCAAUGGCACUGCCCGGUAGCUAAAUGCGGAAGAGAUAAGUGCUGAAAGCAUCUAAGCACGAAACUUGCCCCGAGAUGAGUUCUCCCUGAGACUUUAAGUCUCCUGAAGGAACGUUGAAGACGACGACGUUGAUAGGCCGGGUGUGUAAGCGCAGCGAUGCGUUGAGCUAACCGGUACUAAUGAACCGUGAGGCUUAACCUUACAACGCCGAAG